CCGUCUCUUGCCAUGCUCGGUCAGUUUAGCCCCCAGCUUCUGAUCUUGAGCCGGAUACACCCUGUCAACCUCCCUAGGGAGAUUGAUGGGGUUGUACGAGACGAGAAUAUCUUCAGGCAACUAUCUUUGAGUGCGGAACCUUUCUCUUCCAACAUGGAGGAUUUCGCAAUUAAUCAGUUGGCACAUCC
Small nucleolar RNA from Verticillium dahliae VdLs.17, 188 nucleotides. The record is from Rfam. NCBI's taxonomy places the organism in Eukaryota, Fungi, Ascomycota, Sordariomycetes, Glomerellales, Plectosphaerellaceae.